RNAcentral lists this long non-coding RNA (267 nucleotides) under Homo sapiens (human). Its description in RNAcentral is "HSALNT0292630". Lineage: Eukaryota; Metazoa; Chordata; Mammalia; Primates; Hominidae. The record is from RNAcentral.
GUUCUUUCUAGCCUUCACAAGUAUGGAAAGCAUUACAACAGAGAAAAAACAUAGAAGGGGAUAAAUAUGAGUUCUGAGUGCAAGAACACAAUAGUCAGUGAAUUCCCAAGUGGAAAUUACAUUGAGUAAUAUGUCUGCAAGAGACAACCAGAAGACGUCAAGUGAAAAUGAAGAGCAAGUUGGGAAAUACAUAUGCUGGGUUUUUAAAGAAAAGUUCUAAUGUCAUAUGACUUUAUUAUCUUUAAAUAAAAUGAGUUAAAUAGGUAA